RNAcentral lists this ribosomal RNA (465 nucleotides) under uncultured bacterium. RNAcentral describes it as "partial 16S ribosomal RNA". It matches the Rfam family "Bacterial small subunit ribosomal RNA", at positions 30 to 507 of the family's 1533-position model. The record is from RNAcentral.
UGACCGCUGGCGGCGUGCUUAACACAUGCACGUCGAACGGAAAGGCCCAAGCUUGCUUGGGUACUCGAGUGGCGAACGGGUGAGUAACACGUGGGUGAUCUGCCCUGCACUUCGGGAUAAGCCUGGGAAACUGGGUCUAAUACCGGAUAGGACCACAUUUUGGAUGGUGUGGUGGAAAGUUUUUCGGUGUGGGAUGAGCUCGCGGCCUAUCAGCUUGUUGGUGGGGUAAUGGCCUACCAAGGCGUCGACGGGUAGCCGGCCUGAGAGGGUGUACGGCCACAUUGGGACUGAGAUACGGCCCAGACUCCUACGGGAGGCAGCAGUGGGGAAUAUUGCACAAUGGGCGCAAGCCUGAUGCAGCGACGCCGCGUGGGGGAUGACGGCCUUCGGGUUGUAAACUCCUUUCGCUAGGGACGAAGCGUUUUUGUGACGGUACCUGGAGAAGAAGCACCGGCUAACUACGUG